GAAUUGACGAAAGUUCAGUCAAGUUACAUUUAAAUUUUGAUAGAUAGGUUCUAUCUGUUUCAUUUCUUGUUUAGCACAUUAACGAAUGAUUACUGUAAUCAAUUUUGAAUUAGCAUUACAAAAUUUUGUGGUCAUGAAGAAGUUCCCAUUAGAUGGGGAAAGCUAGGAACGUAAACAGAACAAAAGAAAAGGAGGGUGAUACUUCAUAUUCCUCCAACUGCUAUGUAACUU
This 231-nucleotide unclassified non-coding RNA is filed under the name Hevea brasiliensis (rubber tree). Lineage: Eukaryota; Viridiplantae; Streptophyta; Magnoliopsida; Malpighiales; Euphorbiaceae. The record is from RNAcentral.